RNAcentral lists this transfer RNA (66 nucleotides) under Metallyticus splendidus. RNAcentral's name for it is "tRNA-Arg". The record is from RNAcentral. Lineage: Eukaryota; Metazoa; Arthropoda; Insecta; Mantodea; Metallyticidae. RNAcentral also lists the same sequence under 1 other name.
AAGUAAGAAACAAACAAUUGUAAUCAGUUUCGACCUGAUAUUUGAUAAACUAAUUAUCCUUAUUUA